This is a non-coding RNA of Myotis brandtii (Brandt's bat), 74 nucleotides long. The record is from Rfam. Lineage: Eukaryota; Metazoa; Chordata; Mammalia; Chiroptera; Vespertilionidae.
UGCACCUCAGGUGACGCACCUCGGAAUCGGGCUCCCUCCUCUCUGAUUCCGGGGUGCGUCACCCAAGAACCGCC